RNAcentral lists this non-coding RNA (1039 nucleotides) under Capsaspora owczarzaki ATCC 30864. RNAcentral's name for it is "Eukaryotic large subunit ribosomal RNA". It matches the Rfam family "Eukaryotic large subunit ribosomal RNA", at positions 1 to 818 of the family's 3401-position model. The record is from Rfam by way of RNAcentral. Lineage: Eukaryota; Filasterea; Ministeriida; Capsasporidae.
UGAUCUCAAGUCAGACAAGAGUACUCGGUGAAUUUAAGCAUAUUAAUCAACCGAAGGAAAAGAAACUAACUAGGAUUCCUUUAGUAACGGCGAGUGAAACAGGAAAAGCUCAAAUUUAAAAUCUCCGCGGCUCCCGCGGCGAGUUGUAAUCUCGAGAGGCGUUUUCUAGGCCAACCCCGGUACAAGUCCGUUGGAAAACGGCAUCAGUGAGGGUGAGAAUCCCGUUCAUGACUGGGUGCACAUUUGGUCUUCCACGAUACGUCUUCAAAGAGUCGGGUUGUUUGGGAAUGCAGCCCAAAAUGGGUGGUAAAUUUCAUCUAAAGCUAAAUAGCGACACGAGACCGAUAGCGAACAAGUACCGCGAGGGAAAGAUGAAAAGAACUUUGAAAAGAGAGUUAAACAGUACGUGAAACCGUUAAAAGGGAAGCGAUUGAAGCUAGCAUUUGCGUUGCGUGAAAUCAGUCGUAAGACUGCCGAACUGUGCGUUGUGCGGUGAGCCAAAAGCCACGGCGGCGUAUUGAGGUGAGGUGUCUUGCGGUGCACUUUUACGUAGCUUUGAGCAGGUCAGCAUCGGUUUGGUUUACUUUGUGCAGCAAACGGCGUGCUGGGAAGGUGAGUUUACUGUCGGUUCGCUGACUUUGAACUGUUAUAGCCCAGUGUCUGCCCGCUGCGCCCCAGACCGAGGUGGUUGCGGCAUGUGUUCUCUUCGGAGGGCUAGCCUCCCUGUUCAAUGGCUGUUCGUGUUGGAUUUAUUGCUAAACGGCAAUGUGUUUGACAUUUGCAGUGGUCAUUGGGUGGGGUUGUGUAUACGUGAAUGCCUAGGAUGCUGACGAAAUGGCUUUAACCGACCCGUCUUGAAACACGGACCAAGGAGUCUAACAUGUACGCGAGUCUUUGGGUGGCAAACCCAUCGGCGCAAUGAAAGUGAAGGCAAGUUCGGCUUGCUGAGGUGAGAGCUUCGUUCUCGGACGUUGUGCAUCAUCGACCGGUCUAGAGAUUUAUCAAAAGAUCUGAGUAAGAGCGUACCUGCUGGGACCCG